AAGUCGUAACAAGGUUUCCGUAGGUGAACCUGCGGAAGGAUCAUUAACACGAAUUUUAUCCAAUAACAAACCAAACGUGAACUUUCCCCCUCCCUAUUCAAAUAUUAGAAAAUAAUAUUUGGUUAGGCUAACUUUUUUUUUACUUCUAAUAAUUUAAUCUAACACUUCGGUGUUUUAUUAAUAUUAUUAUUAGUUUCAAACCCCUUAAAACUUUUAACUUAAGUUGUUGCUUUCUCUGUAUUGAGACUCAACUUACUAAACUAAAAACUAUUCUUUAAUUAAAUUUGAAGAAUAUUUUUUCGAUUACGAAAAAAACAAAAGAACAACUCUUAACAAUGGAUAUCUUGGUUCUC
Molecule: unclassified non-coding RNA, 353 nt
Filed under: fungal sp.
Lineage: Eukaryota; Fungi
Description: partial internal transcribed spacer region
Rfam family: Eukaryotic small subunit ribosomal RNA (bases 1-46)
Source: RNAcentral